GGGGGAGGAUGAGAUGCUGGUGCUCUUCCCGGUCUUCAAAACCGAGCGGGACGUCCGUGAGGCGUCUGGUGGGUUCGAUUCCCACUCUCUCCC
RNAcentral lists this transfer RNA (93 nucleotides) under Brevibacillus sp. WF146. RNAcentral describes it as "Selenocysteine transfer RNA". It matches the Rfam family "Selenocysteine transfer RNA". Lineage: Bacteria; Bacillati; Bacillota; Bacilli; Caryophanales; Paenibacillaceae. The record is from Rfam by way of RNAcentral.